ACGAAUGAUGAUAUGCACUGGGCUCUGAGUAAUAUUGAUGGAAAUGCUAGCCUAGAAAGCUGUAUCUGACCA
Vitis vinifera (wine grape) is the source of this 72-nucleotide small nucleolar RNA. NCBI's taxonomy places the organism in Eukaryota, Viridiplantae, Streptophyta, Magnoliopsida, Vitales, Vitaceae. The record is from Rfam.